RNAcentral lists this long non-coding RNA (1235 nucleotides) under Scophthalmus maximus (turbot). Its description in RNAcentral is "lncRNA (ENSSMAG00000034075.1)". Lineage: Eukaryota; Metazoa; Chordata; Actinopteri; Pleuronectiformes; Scophthalmidae. The record is from RNAcentral.
GUCACCAUAAAUUGUCCCCUUUCGGGUUCUCAGUUGGUUGCGGUUUGCGAUUUUACCACCAGAUGCUGCCAGAAAAGUACAUAAAUUACACACUAGGGCUUUAAGGAAUUAAAGAACAUAUAUUAAAAUGUUUUCAUAUUACUUUAUGUGAACAUAAUGCUAUAUCAGUCAACAUCUUUUAAUUGAUGUUGAUACAGGAAGAAGUUUUGGGUAAACUUUCACCAAACCAGAAGGCUGAGCUGAUCCUGAUCCUUGAUCCAAACAGCGGCGCUUUGCAGAAUGAGACCAUCGUACGGGAGGUGUUCAAAAGCUUGAACAAGUCCCACAAUGACGAGCAGCUCGGUCAGUUUUUCCUGGCUUUUACAGUCAUCAACAAGAAGGUGAGUGCUUGAUUUUAAGAUUGCCAUGCUCUCCGAUAUAUAGUUGCCUGCCAAACAGGCCGUGUAAAAGUUGCCCUUUGCUCUGGGAAUGUUUGCAGACGCUAAUAGGUGGCCGAGCCUCGGCUCAAAAUGAUCCCAUCUCUGGAAUGCUUGGUUAAAGUGUUGUUGCGGAUUAUUCCCCAAUCAUGUCCAUCAUGCACCGAAGUCCAAAGACGUGUCCCCAGGCUUGCUUUCAUUUUGACAAUGAGUCAAGAGGGGUGUAAUAUCCUCUUGAACUAAACAGAGAAUCCCUUCACUUGCAGAGAAACAUCACCUUCAUCAAAAAUCCAGCUGUACGAGACACCAUCCUGAACCUGACCCUGACGGCCCUUGCUCCUGAAUUUGAAGACUUUGAGCCUGAAGACUUUGAGCUGUGGUUCCAGGUCAAUUUGGCCACUGUGAUGGCCAGCCUCCAUCCUGGCAGCUUGGCAGUGAUCCCCAGCAACAUCAGCUGUGAAUCCUAUGCAGCUAUGUAAGCCAGGAUAUUUCUCAAGUCCAAAGUCAAACAAUACGUGUUUGCAUGAGGUCAAACUGUGAAUCCAGACGAGUCACAAAAAAUUGUGUUUUCUUCCCUCAGACUCACUGGUCUUCGAAAAAGCUUGAAAUCCCUGCCACUGGACAUUUCAGAUGGUCUGAGAUCGGGCAUAGAGUCAUUCAAGGAGACCUUCCCACGUACGUUGACAUCGUUUUUCAGACAAGCCGAUUACGACUGCUUGUGUUGAUAGCUGCAUUGAUGCCAUGCCUUCUUUCCAUUUUUGCCCCAAACAGGUUGCGCAGUUGCACAUUCCUUGAUGUGCCAGGAGACCCAGGUUGAUG